RNAcentral lists this long non-coding RNA (241 nucleotides) under Theropithecus gelada (gelada). RNAcentral's name for it is "lncRNA (ENSTGEG00000020178.1)". The record is from RNAcentral. Lineage: Eukaryota; Metazoa; Chordata; Mammalia; Primates; Cercopithecidae.
GGCGCCCAGGCCGCGGGCGGGGGGAGGAGGGCCGCAGCCCGGGAGAGGGGAAAAGGCGGGCCGCACGGCGCCAGCAGCCAGCCCCGAGGACGCGAGCGGCAGGAGCACUGAUGGGAAUGGCACUGACUUCCAGUUUCUGAGGCGCAGCCCAGCAAACCCGUCAAGGUGUGCACAGAGGUUCUCCACCUUUUUUUCUGAACUCGCAGUCAGGUGAGUGAUGCUAUUUCUACGAGAUAAUGUU